This 911-nucleotide ribosomal RNA is filed under the name uncultured bacterium. RNAcentral's name for it is "bacterial SSU rRNA". It matches the Rfam family "Bacterial small subunit ribosomal RNA", at positions 8 to 916 of the family's 1533-position model. The record is from RNAcentral.
AGAGUUUGAUCCUGGCUCAAGAUUGAACGCUGGCGGCAUGCCUAACACAUGCAAGUCGAACGGAGGUAGGGGCAACUCUACUUCAGUGGCGGACGGGUGAGGAAUGCGUCGGAAUCUACCCUAUGGUGGGGGAUAACACAGGGAAACUUGUGCUAAUACCGCAUAAUGUCGAGAGACCAAAGCAGGGGACCGCAAGGCCUUGCGCGAUAGGAUGAGCCGACGCCCGAUUAGCUAGUUGGUAGGGUAAAGGCCUACCAAGGCGACGAUCGGUAGCUGGUCUGAGAGGAUGAUCAGCCACACUGGGACUGAGACACGGCCCAGACUCCUACGGGAGGCAGCAGUGGGGAAUAUUGGACAAUGGGCGCAAGCCUGAUCCAGCAAUGCCGCGUGUGUGAAGAAGGCCUGCGGGUUGUAAAGCACUUUUGUUCGGGAAGAAAUCAUGCUGGUUAAUACCUGGUAUGGAUGACGGUACCGAAAGAAUAAGCACCGGCUAACUUCGUGCCAGCAGCCGCGGUAAUACGAAGGGUGCAAGCGUUAAUCGGAAUUACUGGGCGUAAAGGGUGCGUAGGCGGCCUUUUAAGUCGGAUGUGAAAUCCCCGGGCUCAACCUGGGAAUGGCAUUCGAUACUGGGAGGCUAGAGUUUGGGAGAGGGUGGUGGAAUUCCCGGUGUAGCGGUGAAAUGCGUAGAGAUCGGGAGGAACAUCAGUGGCGAAGGCGGCCACCUGGCCUAAAACUGACGCUGAGGCACGAAAGCGUGGGGAGCAAACAGGAUUAGAUACCCUGGUAGUCCACGCCCUAAACGAUGAGAACUGGACGUUGGGAGGAAUUUGCCUCUUAGUGUCGAAGCUACGCGUGAAGUUCUCCGCCUGGGGAGUACGCUCGCCAAGAGUGAAACUCAAAGGAAUUGACGG